RNAcentral lists this ribosomal RNA (216 nucleotides) under Campeiostachys nutans. RNAcentral's name for it is "Elymus nutans partial small subunit ribosomal RNA". The stretch from base 40 to 216 matches the Rfam family "Eukaryotic small subunit ribosomal RNA", at positions 686 to 864 of the family's 1831-position model. Lineage: Eukaryota; Viridiplantae; Streptophyta; Magnoliopsida; Poales; Poaceae. The record is from RNAcentral.
GGAUCAUCAGGUAGGUCGUGCCACUGGUAUGUACUUGCCUUGAUGGUUCCUCCCUCUUGAAGAACCGUAAUGUCAUUAAUUUGGUGUUGCGGGGAAUCAGGACUGUUACUUUGAAAAAAUUAGAGUGUUUAAAGCAGGCAAACGCUUGAAUACAUUAGCAUGGAAUAAUGAAAUAGGACGUUCGAUCCUAUUUUGUUGGUUUCUAGGAUUGACGUA